Long non-coding RNA from Amphimedon queenslandica, 428 nucleotides. RefSeq lists it as uncharacterized. The transcript has 3 exons. The record is from RefSeq and is a predicted model, not a curated record. NCBI's taxonomy places the organism in Eukaryota, Metazoa, Porifera, Demospongiae, Haplosclerida, Niphatidae.
CCUCUCUCAGUGGUUCCUAAAUAAGCUAAUGCACACAAUACAAUUAGAUCAGUCAAGACUUCAAGCAGGCAGACAAGAGCUAACAUUAGAAUGUCUCAAUUCAAUUUUGUCACAUUCAUAAUUUUGUAUCAGAGUUAUAUGUUAAUUAUGAUUGCAGUACCUACUGUACUAACGUGUGCGAGAGACUGAGCAAACUACUUGCUAAGUACGGGAUAUUUGCUAAAUAUUAUUACAGCAAGCAUUCCCCAGCUCUUAUCACACGAUAUCAUCAACCAACAUAAUUAGCAAUGGAAACACUACUGGCAAUGAUACUGGCAUUAGAAUCAACCAACACCACCACUACUGAUAGUGAUGAUUCCAAUGAUGGUGAUACUAAUGGAAUGUGUACUAAGAUUAAUGGAGGGAAAGUUGCAGGUGACUGUAAUAAA